This 497-nucleotide ribosomal RNA is filed under the name uncultured bacterium. Its description in RNAcentral is "partial 16S ribosomal RNA". It matches the Rfam family "Bacterial small subunit ribosomal RNA", at positions 28 to 507 of the family's 1533-position model. The record is from RNAcentral.
GAUGAACGCUGGCGGCGUGCCUAAUACAUGCGAGUCGAGCGAACGGACGAGAAGCUUGCUUCUCUGAUGUUAGCGGCGGACGGGUGAGUAACACGUGGAUAACCUACCUAUAAGACUGGGAUAACUUCGGGAAACCGUAGCUAAUACCGGAUAAUAUUUUGAACCGCAUGGUUCAAAAGUGAAGGACGGUCUUGCUGUCACUUAUAGAUGGAUCCGCGCUGCAUUAGCUAGUUGGUAAGGUAACGGCUUACCAAGGCAACGAUGCAUAGCCGACCUGAGAGGGUGAUCGGCCACACUGGAACUGAGACACGGUCCAGACUCCUACGGGAGGCAGCAGUAGGGAAUCUUCCGCAAUGGGCGAAAGCCUGACGGAGCAACGCCGCGUGAGUGAUGAAGGUCUUCGGAUCGUAAAACUCUGUUAUUAGGGAAGAACAUAUGUGUAAGUAACUGUGCACAUCUUGACGGUACCUAAUCAGAAAGCCACGGCUAACUACGUG